RNAcentral lists this ribosomal RNA (253 nucleotides) under uncultured bacterium. Its description in RNAcentral is "partial 16S ribosomal RNA". It matches the Rfam family "Bacterial small subunit ribosomal RNA", at positions 524 to 776 of the family's 1533-position model. The record is from RNAcentral.
UACGUAGGGGGCAAGCGUUGUCCGGAAUCAUUGGGCGUAAAGCGCGUGUAGGCGGUUUCGUAAGUCUGCUGUGAAAGUCGGAGGCUCAACCUUCGAAAGCCGGUGGAUACUGUGAGACUUGAGUACGGAAGAGGAGAGUGGAAUUCCUGGUGUAGCGGUGAAAUGCGCAGAUAUCAGGAGGAACACCGGUGGCGAAGGCGGGUCUCUGGGCAACAACUGACGCUGAGGAGCGAAAGCGUGGGGAGCGAACAGG